RNAcentral lists this ribosomal RNA (460 nucleotides) under uncultured bacterium. RNAcentral describes it as "partial 16S ribosomal RNA". It matches the Rfam family "Bacterial small subunit ribosomal RNA", at positions 338 to 795 of the family's 1533-position model. The record is from RNAcentral.
CCUACGGGAGGCAGCAGUGAGGAAUAUUGGUCAAUGGACGAGAGUCUGAACCAGCCAAGUCGCGUGAAGGAUGCCUGCCCUAUGGGUUGUACACUUCUUUUAUAUGGGAAUAAAAUUUUCCACUUGUGUGAUUUUUUUUGUACCAUAUUAAUAAGGCUCGUCUAACUCCGUUCCAGCAGCCGCGGUAAUACGGAGGAUCCGAGCGUUAUCCGGAUUUAUUGGGGUUAAAGGGAGCGUAGGUGGAUUGUUAAGUCAGUUGUGAAAGUUUGCGGCUCAACCGUAAAAUUGCAGUUGAAACUGGCAGUCGUGAGUACAGUAGAGGUGGGCGGAAGUCGUGGUGUAGCGGUGAAAUGCGUAGAUAGCACGAAGAACUCCGAUUGCGAAGGCAGCUCACUGGACUGCAACUGACACUGAGGCUCGAAAGUGUGGGUAUCAAACAGGAGUAGAUACCCUAGUAGUC